UGGGGAAUAUUGCACAAUGGGCGCAAGCCUGAUGCAGCCAUGCCGCGUGUAUGAAGAAGGCCUUCGGGUUGUAAAGUACUUUCAGCGGGGAGGAAGGUGUUGAGGCUAAUAACCUCAGCAAUUGACGUUACCCGCAGAAGAAGCACCGGCUAACUCCGUGCCAGCAGCCGCGGUAAUACGGAGGGUGCAAGCGUUAAUCGGAAUUACUGGGCGUAAAGCGCACGCAGGCGGUCUGUCAGGUCGGAUGUGAAAUCCCCGGGCUCAACCUGGGAACUGCAUUCGAAACUGGCAGGCUAGAGUCUUGUAGAGGGGGGUAGAAUUCCAGGUGUAGCGGUGAAAUGCGUAGAGAUCUGGAGGAAUACCGGUGGCGAAGGCGGCCCCCUGGACAAAGACUGACGCUCAGGUGCGAAAGCGUGGGGAGCAAACA
Molecule: ribosomal RNA, 427 nt
Filed under: uncultured bacterium
Lineage: Bacteria
Description: partial 16S ribosomal RNA
Rfam family: Bacterial small subunit ribosomal RNA
Source: RNAcentral